CCUUACCUUAAAGAACCGACCUUUGCAGUGCUCAGACAGAUUGUCUGAUGAAUGAUGAACUUCUGAAUGUACUUUCGAGUGCAUUAAGAAGUUUUGCUCUUUAACAAUCUGGAUCAAGCUGAGAAUUGAAACGACACACUGUUUCAUUUCUCCGUAAUAAGAAAUGAAAAAUGGUGUGUUCGAGUCUCUCAAAUUUUUGCAACUCGAUGAUGAAUCGAAAGAAACAUCUUCGGGUUGUGA
RNAcentral lists this unclassified non-coding RNA (240 nucleotides) under Vibrio alginolyticus. Its description in RNAcentral is "16S-23S ribosomal RNA intergenic spacer region". The stretch from base 99 to 233 matches the Rfam family "Salmonella enterica Typhi npcRNA 44". Lineage: Bacteria; Pseudomonadati; Pseudomonadota; Gammaproteobacteria; Vibrionales; Vibrionaceae. The record is from RNAcentral.